RNA transcript from Cucurbita maxima (winter squash), 2161 nucleotides. It is a transcript of the gene named heterogeneous nuclear ribonucleoprotein 1-like, with no coding region annotated. The record is from RefSeq and is a predicted model, not a curated record. The transcript is spliced from 3 exons. Lineage: Eukaryota; Viridiplantae; Streptophyta; Magnoliopsida; Cucurbitales; Cucurbitaceae.
CCUCAGAUCCACCAGAGUUCUCUCUUCCCCUUUUCUUCUCUCUCUUUUUCUCUUUCUCUUUUCAAGCCCCAGUCGGCUGCAAACCCUAUUCUGAAAUCCGUAACCCAUAAACCAAAUUCAAUUUUUGCAGGAAGAACAGAGCCGUGAAUCGAUUUUUCCAUUUGGGGUUUUUGAGAAACAGAGAGAAAAAGGGGCAAUGGAUUCGGAUCAGGGGAAGCUUUUUAUUGGUGGGAUUUCAUGGGAGACCUCUGAGGAUAAGUUAAAGGACCACUUCAACAGCUAUGGUGAAGUGAUGCAUACCGUUGUUAUGAGGGAUAAGAUCACUAGCAAACCUAGAGGGUUUGGAUUCGUUGUCUUUGCAGAUCCCUCUGUUCUUGAUCGAGUUCUCCAGGAUAAGCACACUAUAGAUGGUAAAACGGUUGAGGCUAAGAGGGCCUUAUCACGAGAGGAACAGCAGACCCCUGCGAGAGCGGGCAAUUUGAACGCUACUAGAAAUUCUGGUGGUGGAAAUAUGAGAACCAAAAAAAUUUUUGUUGGGGGAUUGCCUCCAACAUUGACUGAAGAGGGGUUUAAGGAGUAUUUUGAGACUUAUGGCGAUGUAACUGAUGUAGUAGUCAUGUACGAUCAAAAUACUAGGCGUCCACGGGGAUUUGGAUUUAUAUCUUUUGAUACUGAAGAAGCUGUUGACAGAGUUUUGCACAAGACAUUUCAUGAUUUGAAUGGUAAACAAGUAGAAGUUAAGCGUGCCCUUCCCAAAGAUGCCAAUCCAGGUGCAGGUGGCCGCUCGAUGGGUGGCAGUGCAAGCAGUGGUGGUUAUCAAACUUAUGGGUCAUCUGGUGGUGUCAAUUCAAAUUCAUAUGAUAGUCGUAUGGAUUCGAAUAGGUACAUGCAAUCUCAGGGCUCUAGUGGAGGUUUCCCACCUUAUGGUUCCUCUGGAUAUAACAAUCCCGGGUAUGGUUAUGGUUCAUCGAACAAUGGUAUGGGAUACGGUGGUUAUGGAAACUAUAGUGGUUCAAAUACUGGGUAUGGUGCCCCUUCUGCUGUUGCUUAUGGUAACCCAAAUGUCGCCAAUGCUGGUUAUGCAAGCGGUCCUCAAGGUGGACCUAGAAGUUCGUGGUCCGCUCAAGCUCCCUCUGGAUAUGGAGCCAUGGGCUAUGGGAAUGCAGCCCCGUGGGGAGGUGCCCCUGGGGGCAAUGCUGGAGCUGGCAGUGGUGGGCCUGGAUCUGCACCCACAGGUCAUUCUCCUGGUGGAGCUGCUGGGUAUGGCAAUCAGGGUUAUGGAUAUGGUGGGUUUGGGAAUCAAGGUUAUGGUUAUGGUGGAGGUGAUGGCUCGUAUGGGAGUCAAUCUGGUUACGGUACAGGUGGAGGACGUUCUGGUAGUGCCUCAAAUAGCAAUGUCGGGGGUGGUCCAAGUGGGGGAGAAUUACAAGGGAACAGUGGUGGUUACAUGAAUAGUGGCUAUGGCGAUGCUAAUGGAAACACUGGUUAUGGAAAUGCUGGUUGGAGAUCCGAUGGCGGACAAGUAGGUUAUACCGGUGGUUAUGGUGGUGGACAAGCUCGACAAUCUCAACAACAGUAAUUUGAUCAAAAGGAAACUGGAUGUUAGCAUGUUGUGUGUAUCUCCCUGUUUGUUUUACGAGAUCGAUGUUUUCCAGUUGCUUGUUAUAAAAUUUUUCUUCUUGUUCCUGACUGAAGCGGUGGCCCGAUUCGGAACACGAUGAGCCUGGAGGGAUGCUCGGAGUUGUAAAAGUGGAGUCCGUCAUGGCUGAACACAGGCUUCGUAGUGAAGGACCGAGUCGGGGAUGAUGCGUGUGUUCAGCAUUUAUGGACUUUUACCCCGAGAAAGAAUAUGUUCUUCUGUGAGGCCUUGUCGACUCGUACUCCCAAGUCUCUGGUAUUGUAAGUCAUGAGUUUUAUAGUUAAAUCCAUGCCUUCAAGAAUGAGUAGGUAAUGACUUGAGGUUCGUUCUUUGUUGAAGCAGAAUCCGAAACAUAAAGUGAAAACGUCGUAGCUCUCUCUCGUUUUCUGUUUUGCUGCUUCGAGGUCGACCGAAUGUCGUAAAGAACUCGGCUUUAGAACAUCUUUUUAGGUGAAAAUGGUAUUCCUUUUGGUGUUCAGUUUGGGUGAAGAUUGAAUGAAAAGUUUGCAUAUUUUCAACUUA